AGUGACCUGCCUUUUAGACUGGAACAACUUACCGAAAGGUGAGCUAAUGCCGGAUGAGUUAUAUAAGUGCAUGUUUAUAUAGGAAAAGUUGGGGAGACCUGACGCUGAAAGAUGGACUCGCGUCCCAUUAGCUAGUUGGUAGGGUAAUGGCCUACCAAGGCGACGAUGGGUAGCCGGCCUGAGAGGGUGGCCGGCCACACUGGGACUGAGACACGGCCCAGACUCCUACGGGAGGCAGCAGUGGGGAAUUUUGCGCAAUGCUCGUAAGAGUGACGCAGCGACGCCGCGUGAAUGACGAACGCCUUCGGGUCGUAAAGUUCUUUCGACAGGGAAGAAAAUGCCUAUAAGUAACUGUGUAUGUAUUGACGGUACCUGUAUAAGCAGCCCCGGCUAACUCCGUGCCAGCAGCCGCGGUAAUACGGAGGGGGCGAGCGUUGUUCGGAGUGACUGGGCGUAAAGAGCACGUAGGCGGUGUUGUAAGUCAUUAGUCAAAGACUAGAGCUCAACUUUAGUAAGGCUAGUGAUACUAUAAUACUAGAGUAUCAGAGAGGAUUGCAGAAUUCCUGGUGUAGCGGUGAAAUGCGUAGAUAUCAGGAGGAAUACCGUUAGCGAAGGCGGCAAUCUGGCUGGAAACUGACGCUGAGGUGCGAAAGCGUGGG
Molecule: ribosomal RNA, 659 nt
Filed under: uncultured bacterium
Lineage: Bacteria
Description: bacterial SSU rRNA
Rfam family: Bacterial small subunit ribosomal RNA
Source: RNAcentral